This 382-nucleotide ribosomal RNA is filed under the name uncultured bacterium. Its description in RNAcentral is "bacterial SSU rRNA". It matches the Rfam family "Bacterial small subunit ribosomal RNA", at positions 29 to 429 of the family's 1533-position model. The record is from RNAcentral.
AGCGAACGCUAGCGGCGGGCUUAACACAUGCAAGUCGAGCGCCUUACUUCGGUAAGGAGCGGCGGACGGGUGAGUAACACGUAGGUUAUCUGCCCCGGGGUGAGGGACAACUGAGGGAAACUUCAGCUAAUACCACAUAUGGCCUACGGGUCAAAGGCUUCGGCCGCCCUGGGAUGAGCCUGCGUCCCAUUAUUUAAUCCUAGUUGGUGGGGUAAUGGCCUACCAAGGGUACGAUGGGUAGCUGGUUUGAGAGAAUGAUCAGCCACACUGGAACUGAGACACGGUCCAGACUCCUACGGGAGGCAGCAGUGGGGAAUAUUGCGCAAUGGGCGAAAGCCUGACGCAGCCACGCCGCGUGAGUGAAGAAGGCCUCGGUUGUAAG